RNAcentral lists this ribosomal RNA (277 nucleotides) under uncultured prokaryote. RNAcentral's name for it is "partial 16S ribosomal RNA". It matches the Rfam family "Bacterial small subunit ribosomal RNA", at positions 524 to 800 of the family's 1533-position model. The record is from RNAcentral.
UACGUAGGGGGCUAGCGUUAUCCGGAAUUACUGGGCGUAAAGGGUGCGUAGGCGGUCUUUUAAGCCAGGAGUGAAAGGCUACGGCUCAACCGUAGUAAGCUUUUGGAACUGUAAGACUUGAGUGCAGGAGAGGAGAGUGGAAUUCCUAGUGUAGCGGUGAAAUGCGUAGAUAUUAGGAGGAACACCAGUUGCGAAGGCGGCUCUCUGGACUGUAACUGACACUGAGGCACGAAAGCGUGGGGAGCAAACAGGAUUAGAUACUCGGGUAGGUCCCUGA